RNAcentral lists this ribosomal RNA (314 nucleotides) under uncultured bacterium. RNAcentral's name for it is "partial 16S ribosomal RNA". It matches the Rfam family "Bacterial small subunit ribosomal RNA", at positions 499 to 807 of the family's 1533-position model. The record is from RNAcentral.
UUAUAAGAGACAGCAGUCGCCGCGGUAAUACGAAGGGUGCAAGCGUUAAUCGGAAUUACUGGGCGUAAAGCGUGCGUAGGCGGUGAGUUAAGUCUGCUGUGAAAUCCCCGGGCUCAACCUGGGAAUGGCAGUGGAUACUGGCUCGCUAGAGUGUGUCAGAGGAUGGUGGAAUUCCCGGUGUAGCGGUGAAAUGCGUAGAGAUCGGGAGGAACAUCAGUGGCGAAGGCGGCCAUCUGGGACAACACUGACGCUGAGGCACGAAAGCGUGGGGAGCAAACAGGAUUAGAUACCCGAGUAGUCCCUGUCUCUUAUAC